This is a long non-coding RNA of Alnus glutinosa, 529 nucleotides long. RefSeq lists it as uncharacterized. Lineage: Eukaryota; Viridiplantae; Streptophyta; Magnoliopsida; Fagales; Betulaceae. The record is from RefSeq and is a predicted model, not a curated record. The transcript is spliced from 3 exons.
ACAAGAGACAAGCAUCUACUACUGUUGGAUUUGGUUUUAGCAAAAGGAUGAAGAAAAGAAUCCAGCGAUGGAUACUUAGAGGCUGUUAGGGGUAAGGGCAUGCAUACAUCAAGUAAUGUUGCAACUAUGGAUACUUAGCAUUCUCAUGCUGCUACUAAAAGUAAAUCCACACUGCCAUCCACAACUGUUGGUGCAAGAUAGAAGACUUUGGGACUUAAAUCUAGAAAUGUAACAACUAUUAGAAGGUCCAGUAGGUUGUUAGGUGCGUUUAAGAAAGUCUCAUCUAACAAAAAGUCCUUAGAUGUUGAUCUUACUGGUGAUAGGGGUGAAUCAGCAAGGACGUCAAAAAGAGUAAUUGUACCAACAGUGGAGAAGGGAAUCCAGCAAAUGGAAGGAAAGAAGAAACAGAAAAGACUUGUAUGAUGACAUUGAUAGGGAGGGAUGUUAUCCACUUGGUCUACAUUUUGUUAUGAAAGAACUUUUUGUUUGGGUUGUUGGAAAUCUCCUCAAACUUUUGGUUGUAAACAUU